GACGAGUCUCACGAACGUUAUUCGGAAUUACUGGGCUUAAAGGGUGCGUAGGCGGUGGAGUAAGUCGGAUGUGAAAUACCAUAGUUUAACUAUGGAACUGCACUCGAUACUACUUUGCUAGAGUAAGACAGAGGUGAGUGGAACUGAGGGUGGAGCGGUGAAAUGCGUUGAUAUCCUCAGGAACACCGGUGGCGAAGGCGACUCACUGGGUCUUUACUGACGCUGGUGCACGAAAGCUAGGGUAGCAAACGGG
This 253-nucleotide ribosomal RNA is filed under the name uncultured bacterium. RNAcentral's name for it is "partial 16S ribosomal RNA". It matches the Rfam family "Bacterial small subunit ribosomal RNA", at positions 524 to 776 of the family's 1533-position model. The record is from RNAcentral.